UACGUAGGGGGCAAGCGUUGUCCGGAUUUAUUGGGCGUAAAGAGCUCGUAGGCGGUGUGUCACGUCGGCCGUGAAAACCUGCAGCUUAACUGUGGGCGUGCGGUCGAUACGGGCAUCACUGGAGUUCGGCAGGGGAGACUGGGAUUCCUGGUGUAGCGGUGAAAUGCGCAGAUAUCAGGAGGAACACCGGUGGCGAAGGCGGGUCUCUGGGCCGAUACUGACGCUGAGGAGCGAAAGCGUGGGGAGCAAACAGG
RNAcentral lists this ribosomal RNA (254 nucleotides) under uncultured bacterium. RNAcentral's name for it is "partial 16S ribosomal RNA". It matches the Rfam family "Bacterial small subunit ribosomal RNA", at positions 524 to 776 of the family's 1533-position model. The record is from RNAcentral.